GAUGAACGCUGGCGGCGUGCCUAAUACAUGCAAGUCGAACGAACAGACGCUGAGCUUGCUCCUCUCACGUUAGCCGCGGAGGGGAGUGUAACGCGUGUAUAACCUACCUAUAAUACUGGUAACACUAGGGGACACCGGCGCUAAUACCGUAGAAUAUCCUGCUCCGCGUGGUGCGUUGGUGAAAGUCGGUGUUUCGGGCACUUCUCGAUGCAUCCCCGCCUCAUUAGCUAGUUGUGAAGCUCACAGGUUACCAAGGCAACGAUGCGUAAGCGACCUGAGAGGGUGGUAGGCGACACUGGAACGUGGCCGGGGUCCAUGCGACUACGGGAGGCAGCAGUAGGGAAUGUUCCGCAGUGGGCGGAAGCCUGACGGAGCAACGCCGCGUGAGUGGUGGAGGUCUUCGGAGCGUAAAACUCUGUUAUUAGGGAAGAACAAAUGUGUAAGUAACUAUGGACGGCGUGACGGUACCUGAUCAGAAAGCCACGGCUAACUACGUG
RNAcentral lists this ribosomal RNA (497 nucleotides) under uncultured bacterium. RNAcentral describes it as "partial 16S ribosomal RNA". It matches the Rfam family "Bacterial small subunit ribosomal RNA", at positions 28 to 507 of the family's 1533-position model. The record is from RNAcentral.